GGCGAACGUUAGCGGCGGGCUUAACACAUGCAAGUCGAGCGAGAACGGGGCAACCCUAGUACAGCGGCGGACGGGUGAGUAACACGUAGGUAACUUUCCCUUGAGCGGGGGACAACGGUCCGAAAGGACCGCUAAUACCGCAUACGUUCUUCUGGUCUUAGGGCUGGGAGAGGAAAGCUAGGCUAGCAAUAGUCCGGCACUCAAGGAGAGGCCUGCGUAGCAUCAGCUAGUUGGUGGGGUAAUGGCCUACCAAGGCAAAGACGCUUAGCUGGUCUGAGAGGAUGAUCAGCCACACUGGGACUGAGACACGGCCCAGACUCCUACGGGAGGCAGCAGUGGGGAAUAUUGGACAAUGGCGCAAGCCUGAUCCAGCCACGCCGCGUGAGUGAUGAAGGCCUCGGUC
Molecule: ribosomal RNA, 403 nt
Filed under: uncultured bacterium
Lineage: Bacteria
Description: bacterial SSU rRNA
Rfam family: Bacterial small subunit ribosomal RNA
Source: RNAcentral